This 331-nucleotide long non-coding RNA is filed under the name Physcomitrium patens. RNAcentral describes it as "long non-coding RNA (PPAT_LNC002011)". Lineage: Eukaryota; Viridiplantae; Streptophyta; Bryopsida; Funariales; Funariaceae. The record is from RNAcentral.
GAUAUGUUAUAAGCAUUUGUAGCAGUUUACUGUAAUGAUUAGGAUGAAUAUUUGACACCUUUAGAAUUUUCCUAUAAUGAUAGUAUUCAAGCAAGUAUUGAUCAUUCACUAUUCUUUUUUAAAACAAAUUAGCAUCUGAUUAUACUAGCAACUCUUUAUUGUUCCAUCGACACUAACAAUCCAACUAUAGAGGAGUUUGUAUAAUAACUUAUAACAACCUUGUAGGAAGCACGACACUAUUUCAUUGCUGCACAGAGUCGAUAGAAGUAGUAUCCAGAUAACCAUCAGUAACACAAGACCGUCCGGAAGGAUAAUCAGGUAUUACUCUCCA